This 315-nucleotide ribosomal RNA is filed under the name uncultured eukaryote. RNAcentral describes it as "partial 18S ribosomal RNA". It matches the Rfam family "Eukaryotic small subunit ribosomal RNA", at positions 1470 to 1796 of the family's 1831-position model. The record is from RNAcentral.
CCCUUAGACGUUCUGGGCCGCACGCGCGCUACACUGACCAGUGCAACAAGCAUCCGUCCUUGGCCGACAGGCUCGGGCAAUCUUUGAACGCUGGUCGUGAUGGGGAUAGACUUUUGCAAUUUUUGGUCUUCAACGAGGAAUUCCUAGUAAACGCAAGUCAUCAACUUGCAUUGAUUACGUCCCUGCCCUUUGUACACACCGCCCGUCGCACCUACCGAUUGAAUGGUCCGGUGAAGCCUCCGGAUUGGCGCGCACCUCGGUGCCGCCGAGAAGUUGGCUAAACCUUUCCAUUUAGAGGAAGGUGAAGUCGUAACA